GACGAACGCUGGCGGCGUGCUUAACACAUGCAAGUCGAACGGAAAGGCCCUGCUUUUGUGGGGUGCUCGAGUGGCGAACGGGUGAGUAACACGUGAGUAACCUGCCCUUGACUUUGGGAUAACUUCAGGAAACUGGGGCUAAUACCGGAUAGGAUCUCUUGCUGCAUGGUGGGGGUUGGAAAGUUUCGGCGGUUGGGGAUGGACUCGCGGCUUAUCAGCUUGUUGGUGGGGUAGUGGCUUACAAAGGCUUUGACGGGUAGCCGGCCUGAGAGGGUGACCGGCGACAAUGGGACUGCGGUACGGACCAGACUCCAACGGGAGGCAGCAGUGGGGAAUAUUGCACAGUGGGCGGAAGCCUGAUGCAGCAACGCCGGGUGCGGGAUGACGGCCUUCGGGUUGUAAACCGAUUUGGCCUGUGACGAAGCGUGAGUGACGGUAAUGGGUAAAGAAGCACCGGCUAACUACGUG
RNAcentral lists this ribosomal RNA (468 nucleotides) under uncultured bacterium. RNAcentral describes it as "partial 16S ribosomal RNA". It matches the Rfam family "Bacterial small subunit ribosomal RNA", at positions 28 to 507 of the family's 1533-position model. The record is from RNAcentral.